CAUGGAGCCAGGUGCAGAGGCGCAGCCUGUCAUCCCAGUGACCCAGGAGGCUGAGGCAGAAGGACCACCAGUCGGAGGCCAGCCUGGGCAACGUAGUGAGACCCGGUCUCAAAAUCAAAAGGGCCGGUGGUGUGGCUCAGUGGUUAAGCAUCCCUUGGUUCAGUCCCCAGGACCAAAUACACAGAAAAACUUUCAUGUGACACAGGAAUCUUCAGAAUGAUGAGUGAAGACCCAGGAAAGCAAUUUAUUCGCAGGCCUUGGGCUGGGGAAGAAAGGAGAGUGGUGCCGAGCGCGGUGGUGCACACCUGUAAUUCAAGCCGCUCAGGAGGCCGAGGAUCGCGAGUUCAAAGCCAGGCUCAGCAAUUUUGCAAGGCCCUAAGCAACUUAGGGAGACCCUGUCUCUAAGUAAAAUAUUUUAAAAAGGGCUGGAUGUGUAGCUGAGUGGUUAAGAGCCCCUGGCUUCAACCCCAGGAAGGAAGGAAGGAAGGAAGGAGGAUAGCAGUAUGCCAACGCGACUAGACAAAACGAGAACAGACUGAGGGGUGCAGACUCGUCUUGGCAUCUCUGUGCAGCUCUCUUCCUCCGGGACGUGGGGCAGGACCCUCUGCAAUGGACCCUCUGCAAUGGGGGUCUCCGAGGGAGAAUGGGUUUAGUUUGUCUCUUGAUUGCAGUAGCUGCGGAUGGGGCGGAUGGGGCGCAGGGCCCCAGGGACGCUAGACUGCCCCGCCGCUGCGCUCACCCCAGCCCAGGAGAAGAAAGGGCCUCCUUCCAGGUUCCGUGGCUGGCGUUAGGGGAGAGGAGUUCUGGUUCCUGGGACCCGCUGGGGGUGAGGAAUUCUGAGUCCUGUGACUUACUCGGGUGAAGGGCUAGAGAGAGGCUGGGUGUGGUGGCUCAUGCCUGCAAUUCCAGUCUGGGGAUGGGGACCGCAAGGCAGGAGCAAGGAGUGCCAUAGUUGGGGGGAUCAAGUUCUGAGUCCCAACAUAAGAGGGAAACUGAGAAUGCGAGGGUGUUUGCAAAUGUGGAAGUGCCCGGAACCGCUUCCCCUCUCCCACCAGCAGAGCAAAGCACAGCCCCGAGGUGAAGGCUGCGGGCCAGGGUGGGGCUCAGCGGGGAGCCCUCGCCUAGCAAGGAGGGGCCCUGGGUUCCAUCCCCAACACACGAAGAGAAGAAAAGAAGAAAGAAUUCAGGGCUGAAAGAAAGCUGUGCUGUGCCCUUCUGAACUGGCUUCAUGGCCACCACCCUCCCAGGGGACUUCCUCCUCCCCAACCCGACAGCACAGUUGAAAAUUCCAGUAGCUGUUUAUAAGGCAGCAUCUGCAGGGAUUCAGCAGGUACCUGGGGGACACCAGGAAUGUUGGCUGCUUCUCUCCACACUGCCCCAAGGGGGGACAGGGCUCCAGGAGCUCCCUGUCCACCCCAGGCUAACCUGAGUCUGAGAGCUGCAGCCGGCAGGGACCUGGUGGCCUGGGGAUGGAGCCGAGGGCCUCACACCAGCGAGGCCGCACCCCCAGCAACGGCAGUUUGGUUUUUCUCUGUAAAUAGUGAGCAUCUCAACAACCAAUUUUGUCUUCAUCAAGCCCCAGGGCUGAGCACGCACAAAUUGGAAACUGGGGAAGUUUUCACCCUGUGGAAGGGAAAGAAAAAAAACACAGCCACUCAACAAGGAACCUGAGAAACCCGUGAGUGGAAGGCAGAAAAGGCGGAGAAGGGCGGGGGUGGAAGAGAACCCUCAGCCCCAGCCCCCCCCUGCUUUCCUUAUCUGAGGAUCAGAGACUGGGCUGGAGCUAAAGUCCACUGGCCAGAACAAAGAUUCCUACUCCCUCCCCACCCCCAAAGCAGAAGAGGAAAAAAAAAAAAAGACCUUGUCUUUACUGGAUGUGUGAUCUGGACACAUUGCUUAAUCACUUUGUGGUUUAGUUUCCUCAUCUGUGAAAUGGGACUAAUGACUGCCUGUUGCAGUCUGGCUGGGCACAAAAUAACCCAGCCGCCACGAGGCACUUGUAGGUUCAAACAGGAACUACUUUAUUGCCCGAACUCCACCAGCACUCCACCUGCACUCCCCGGGAACUCUCCCUGCCCUCAACGUGGCUCCGAGAGAACUCAACGGGAACUCCGGAGAAGGAGAGGGAACUCCGGAGAAGGAGAACUCGAAAGUAGCGGGCGCCCGAGGCAGCAGGAGCCUCCCUAUUGCGGGACAGCAGGGGUCUAUAUACAACGGAAUACACAGCCCGUUUCAAUCCAGCAUCAUCCAGUCACAGCAAUUAUACACAGCUUAACUUAAUUAUCAUCAUCUUAAUGGCUCGCUGGCAUCACCUCUCAACCACUCCUUCUGGCAAAAUGCCAGGCGACUCGGCUGUGGCUCUCAACAACUGCCAGGUGUGGUGGCACAUUCCUGUAAUCCCAGGAGCUAAGGAGGCUGAGGCAGGAGGAUCAGGAGUUCAAAGCCAGCCUCUGCAACUUAGUGAGGCCUUGUCUCUAAAUAAAAAGGUGUAGAGCUCAGUGGUAAAGCA
This is a long non-coding RNA of Marmota monax (woodchuck), 2509 nucleotides long. RefSeq lists it as uncharacterized. Lineage: Eukaryota; Metazoa; Chordata; Mammalia; Rodentia; Sciuridae. The transcript has 2 exons. The record is from RefSeq and is a predicted model, not a curated record.